CAAAAUUCAAACCAGUUUUAAAAUCUUCUUCUUCUCUCUCUCAAAUUCGAAUCUGUGACAACGAUGAAGAGCUGUAACCACCGGGUUUCAUUGUCUUUUUUAUGAAUUUCGAGAAUAAGACUGUUAGUUCCCGCCUUUUGAGUUGCUUCCUUCAGCACUUCAAAAUCGAUUGUUGCUUGAAAGAGAUCCCCCUGGAAAUGUCCAGGAACGAUGAUAUUGAAAACUGAACAAAUGUUUGGUGGAGCUCGAGAGAAGUGGCCUGAUAUUAUCCUAGAGGAAGAUGGUUCCAAGGAUGCCUUCCCAUUUGAAGAAAUGAAUCUAGCUGAUAUGUACUAUCAAUAGGCCGAUGUUGUAUUAUGUUUGGGGUAUCAAGUAACUAAAUACGCAAAAAAAAAAAGAUAACUAAAUAUGUAGUUAUGACUUCGGUUCAUGGAUUAUGACUGGUUGGAGUGUAAAUAAAUGAAUCUUUUAUGGGUGUAUUGAUAAUUUCUACUCUGUUCAGUUUACAAAUAACUCAUGUAUGCAAGUUGCCUCGAAGUGUCUCCCAGGUGGUGGCAAUGUUGUUAUUGUGAAUCUUCAGAAAACUCCAAAAGACAAGAAAGCAAGUCCGGUGAUCCAUGGAUAUAUAGACAAGGUGCAGUAUGUAAGUAAUCAAAUAAACAAAAAUCCAGAUUCAUUUUUUUAAUAACUGAAAACUUCAUACUUCUAUUUGUAAAAUAUUACUUGGAACUGGUGAUUGGUGGAAUCGUGGACCUUCUCAAUUUACGAAUUCACCCUUUUGUCAUAAUAGAUCUUCAAACAAUUAUUUUAUUGAUGUAUUGCAGUUGGAAAUAGGCAAAGUAAAGUUUGAUGAUAAUUUAGGAUGAUAGGGUUAGCUAUUUGCUGCAGUGUUCUAUUUAUUUGAACAAGUUAGAUUGAAGAAUUCUGUUGUUUUAUUUUGA
Helianthus annuus (common sunflower) is the source of this 941-nucleotide long non-coding RNA. RefSeq lists it as uncharacterized. The transcript is spliced from 6 exons. Lineage: Eukaryota; Viridiplantae; Streptophyta; Magnoliopsida; Asterales; Asteraceae. The record is from RefSeq and is a predicted model, not a curated record.